This 261-nucleotide ribosomal RNA is filed under the name uncultured bacterium. RNAcentral describes it as "partial 16S ribosomal RNA". It matches the Rfam family "Bacterial small subunit ribosomal RNA", at positions 793 to 1055 of the family's 1533-position model. The record is from RNAcentral.
GUCCACGCCCUAAACGAUGUCUACUAGUUGUCGGGAGAGGAAUCUCUUGGUAACGCAGCUAACGCGUGAAGUAGACCGCCUGGGGAGUACGGUCGCAAGACUAAAACUCAAAUGAAUUGACGGGGGCCCGCACAAGCGGUGGAGCAUGUGGUUUAAUUCGACGCAACGCGAAGAACCUUACCAGGGCUUGACAUACAGAUGAAUAUACUAGAGAUAGUAUAGCUCUUCGGAGCAUCUGUACAGGUGGUGCAUGGUUGUCGU